Molecule: ribosomal RNA, 433 nt
Filed under: uncultured bacterium
Lineage: Bacteria
Description: partial 16S ribosomal RNA
Rfam family: Bacterial small subunit ribosomal RNA
Source: RNAcentral
AACGAACGCUGGCGGCAUGCCUAACACAUGCAAGUCGAACGAGACCUUCGGGUCUAGUGGCGCACGGGUGCGUAACGCGUGGGAACCUGCCCUUAGGUUCGGCAUAACUCCCCGAAAGGGGUGCUAAUACCGGAUAAUGUCUUCUGACCAAAGAUUUAUCGCCUUUGGAUGGGCCCUCGUUGGAUUAGCUAGUUGGUAGGGUAAGAGCCUACCAAGGCGAGGAUCCAUAGCUGGUCAGAGAGGCUGAUCAGCCACACUGGGACUGAGAAACGGCCGAGACUCCUACGGGAGGCAGGAGUGGGGAAUAGUGGAACAUGGCGGAAAGCAUGAACCAGCAAUGACGGGUGAGUGAUGAAGGCCUUAGGGUUGUAAAGCUCUUUUAACCGGGAUGAUAAUGACAGUACCGGGAGAAUAAGCCCCGGCUAACUCCGUG